CCCCUACGGGGCGCAGCAGUAGGGAAUCUUCCACAAUGGACGAAAGUCUGAUGGAGCAACGCCGCGUGAGUGAAGAAGGGUUUCGGCUCGUAAAGCUCUGUUGGUAGUGGAGAAAGAUAGAGGUAGUAACUGGCCUUUAUUUGACGGUAAUUACUUAGAAAGUCACGGCUAACUACGUGCCCGCAGCCGCGGGAAUACGUAGGGGGCAAGCGUUGUCCGGAUUUUUUGGGCGUAAAGCGAGU
RNAcentral lists this ribosomal RNA (242 nucleotides) under uncultured bacterium. RNAcentral describes it as "partial 16S ribosomal RNA". It matches the Rfam family "Bacterial small subunit ribosomal RNA", at positions 336 to 570 of the family's 1533-position model. The record is from RNAcentral.